Molecule: long non-coding RNA, 520 nt
Organism: Mesoplodon densirostris (Blainville's beaked whale)
Lineage: Eukaryota; Metazoa; Chordata; Mammalia; Artiodactyla; Ziphiidae
Exons: 3
Source: RefSeq, a predicted model, not a curated record
GGGGGUCGGGCUGCAGGAGGAGGCGCCCGGACCGCGGAGCAAGAGCCCGGGUAGCGGUCCGCGCCGGGGCGGGCGCUCCGUCAGCACCGGACAGACAAUACAAGCACCUCGGAGCGAGUCCCCGAACCUGCCCUAGCCAAAAUGGCGGCCGAGAAAGAGCGGAAGUGACGGUACUUUGUUUUCUUGUCCACUGGUUUCCAAGCAGCUUUGGGAGGCACAGGAAGAAGGAAGCACUCAAGGAGAAGGGGAGAAGUCCAAGUGCCUUCCCCUUUCCUCUGCCCCCCGGCACGGACCAGAUUCCAUCCACGGCCCCCGCUUCUGCCAAGCAUCCCUGACUCCACCCUUCUAGCUCCUCUGGGCAGCCCGGGUUCCCAGCUCUAAAAACACCAUCUCCUCCAUUGCUGCUCCAGCCCAGGAGCGGUAGUGAGCUCCAGCUGCUACUAAUCUCUGAGUAGCCCCACUGUUCCAUUUGGCUUCUCAGCAACUCCUUCACCUGUGUAACCAGAUUCUCUGUAUUAAA